RNAcentral lists this ribosomal RNA (450 nucleotides) under uncultured Glomeromycotina. RNAcentral describes it as "SSU rRNA". It matches the Rfam family "Eukaryotic small subunit ribosomal RNA", at positions 569 to 1025 of the family's 1831-position model. The record is from RNAcentral. Lineage: Eukaryota; Fungi; Glomeromycota.
CGCAGCCGCGGUAAUUCCAGCUCCAAUAGCGUAUAUUAAAGUUGUUGCAGUUAAAAAGCUCGUAGUUGAAUUUCGAGAUCAAAUUGUUGGUCGUGCCUCGGUACGUACUGGCAUUAUUGAUUUCUCCCUUCUGAAGAACCUUGAUGUCAUUAAUUUGGUGUCUUGGGGAAUCAGGACCGUUACUUUGAAAAAAUUAGAGUGUUUAAAGCAGGCUCACGCUUGAAUACAUUAGCAUGGAAUAAUGAAAUAGGACGUUUGAUUCUAUUUUGUUGGUUUCUAGGAUCGACGUAAUGAUUAAUAGGGAUAGUUGGGGGCAUUAGUAUUCAGUUGUCAGAGGUGAAAUUCUUGGAUUUAUUGAAGACUAACUACUGCGAAAGCAUUUGCCAAGGAUGUUUCAUUAAUCAAGAACGAAAGUUAGGGGAUCGAAGACGAUCAGAUACCGUCGUAGUC